CGGCCUUAUCACGUUGAAAAGCCAGUUCCCGAAUGAUCAUCGACGUUAAGCAAUGUCGAGCCUGUUUAGUACAUAGAUGGGUGACCGCUUAGGAAUAUUAAGU
Non-coding RNA from Acanthosepion pharaonis, 103 nucleotides. NCBI's taxonomy places the organism in Eukaryota, Metazoa, Mollusca, Cephalopoda, Sepiida, Sepiidae. The record is from the annotation of a GenBank genome assembly.